RNAcentral lists this long non-coding RNA (380 nucleotides) under Penaeus japonicus. RNAcentral's name for it is "uncharacterized LOC122254093". The record is from RNAcentral. Lineage: Eukaryota; Metazoa; Arthropoda; Malacostraca; Decapoda; Penaeidae.
ACAUUCUCUACGAGGCUAACCAGUAAUAGGUCUCGAAAGAGUCACGAAAGAAUGAACGCAGGAAAAUAAUGCACCAUUGAGUCUGAUGAUUGUGUGCAACUUCCAUCAAGUUGUUCUACGGAGAGCUAACUGAAGAAAUCACUCAAGUCGCUUUUCAUCAUCAGCCGCUUCUCUCUAACAACUGAUUUGCUUGUGUGUUCUUAAUAAUUUAUCGUUAUUAUAAUUCUACUUCCUCAGAAAAUAGAUUGUGAUUGCGUUUUUUACUGAUUUUAUUUAAAACAAAAGGGAAGGACGAAUGGUAGAAAAGCCUAUACGCAAAUUAUUCAAACAGAAUCUGACCACUUGUAUAAUGCAGUUUUCUUCAAUAAAGUAUCAUUAUU